This 440-nucleotide ribosomal RNA is filed under the name uncultured bacterium. RNAcentral's name for it is "partial 16S ribosomal RNA". It matches the Rfam family "Bacterial small subunit ribosomal RNA", at positions 338 to 795 of the family's 1533-position model. The record is from RNAcentral.
CCUACGGGAGGCAGCAGUGGGGAAUAUUGGACAAUGGGGGAAACCCUUAUCCAGCGACGCCGCGUGAGGGAAGAAGGUUUUCGGAUUGUAAACCUCUGUCAGUGGGGACGAUAAUGACGGUACCCACGGAGGAAGCCACGGCUAACUACGUGCCAGCAGCCGCGGUAAUACGUAGGGGGCAAGCGUUGUCCGGAAUUACUGGGUGUAAAGGGAGCGUAGGCGGGAUGUCAAGUCAGAAGUGAAAAUUAUGGGCUCAACUCAUGAACUGCUUUUGAAACUGAUAUUCUUGAGUGAAGUAGAGGCAAGCGGAAUUCCUAGUGUAGCGGUGAAAUGCUUAGAUAUCACGAAGAACCCCGAUUGCGAAGGCAGCUUGCUGCAGCGUUACUGACGCUGAAGCUCGAAAGCGCGGGUAGCGAACAGGAUUAGAUACCCUAGUAGUC